This 394-nucleotide ribosomal RNA is filed under the name uncultured bacterium. RNAcentral describes it as "partial 16S ribosomal RNA". It matches the Rfam family "Bacterial small subunit ribosomal RNA", at positions 523 to 916 of the family's 1533-position model. The record is from RNAcentral.
AUACGUAGGGAGCGAGCGUUGUCCGGAAUUACUGGGUGUAAAGGGAGCGUAGGCGGGAGUGCAAGUCAGAUGUGAAAUACAUGGGCUCAAACCAUGGGCUGCAUUUGAUACUGCAUUUCUUGAGUGAAGUAGAGGUAAGCGGAAUUCCUGGUGUAGCGGUUAAAUGCGUAGAUAUCAGGAGGAACACCGGUGGCGAAGGCGGCUUACUGGGCUUUUACUGACGCUGAGGCUCGAAAGCGUGGGGAGCAAACAGGAUUAGAUACCCUGGUAGUCCACGCUGUAAACGAUGAUUACUAGGUGUGGGGGGACUGACCCCUUCCGUGCCGCAGUUAACACAAUAAGUAAUCCACCUGGGGAGUACGGCCGCAAGGUUGAAACUCAAAUGAAUUGGCGG